Molecule: ribosomal RNA, 253 nt
Filed under: uncultured bacterium
Lineage: Bacteria
Description: partial 16S ribosomal RNA
Rfam family: Bacterial small subunit ribosomal RNA
Source: RNAcentral
UACAGAGGGUGCGAGCGUUAAUCGGAAUUACUGGGCGUAAAGCGUGCGUAGGCGGUCGUGUAAGUCGGGUGUGAAAGCCCCGGGCUCAACCUGGGAAUUGCAUUCGAGACUGCACGGCUGGAGUGCGGAAGAGGGAAGCGGAAUUUCCUGUGUAGCGGUGAAAUGCGUAGAUAUCGUAAGGGACAUCAGUGGCGAAAGCGGCUUCCUGGUCCAGCACUGACGCUCAGGCACGAAAGCGUGGGGAGCAAUCAGG